AUUGAACGCUGGCGGAAUGCUUUACACAUGCAAGUCGAACGGCAGCACGGGGCAACCUGGUGGCGAGUGGCGAACGGGUGAGUAAUACAUCGGAACGUGCCCAAUCGUGGGGGAUAACGUAGCGAAAGUUACGCUAAUACCGCAUACGAUCUACGGAUGAAAGCGGGGGAUCGCAAGACCUCGCGCGAGUGGAGCGGCCGAUGUCAGAUUAGGUAGUUGGUGGGGUAAAGGCUCACCAAGCCAACGAUCUGUAGCUGGUCUGAGAGGACGACCAGCCACACUGGAACUGAGACACGGUCCAGACUCCUACGGGAGGCAGCAGUGGGGAAUUUUGGACAAUGGGCGCAAGCCUGAUCCAGCCAUUCCGCGUGCAGGAUGAAGGCCUUCGGUUGUAAACUGCUUUGUUACGGAACGAAACGGCGAGCUCUAAUACAGUUUGCUAAUGACGGUACCGUAAGAAUAAGACACCGGCUAAC
RNAcentral lists this ribosomal RNA (476 nucleotides) under uncultured bacterium. Its description in RNAcentral is "bacterial SSU rRNA". It matches the Rfam family "Bacterial small subunit ribosomal RNA", at positions 30 to 501 of the family's 1533-position model. The record is from RNAcentral.